Cyprinus carpio carpio is the source of this 862-nucleotide long non-coding RNA. The record is from Ensembl. Lineage: Eukaryota; Metazoa; Chordata; Actinopteri; Cypriniformes; Cyprinidae.
GGUGAUUUCCCUCUUUAAGUUUUCGUUAUGAUGCAGUUAUGCGUGCUGUGUCCUUUAAGAGUUUGUGCACGCGCACGAUAGAGAGAGUGCGCGUCAGAGGGGAACAGAGAGCGCGCUGAUUGAAGCAGCAGGUAAAAGUGAGGAGAAAAUAGUUGAUAAGAAAUUGUUAAAUGGAUAUAAUCCAGGCUGAUUAUCAACUCGUGGACCUGUGGUGGUUUUAGUUGUGUGACUGCACCGAGUGGAUGACUUAAGUCAGUGUUUAUAUUAGUGUUUGUUGCCGCAUAUGAGAGAUCUCCGGUGGGGGAGGGGAUUCAGGCCUACUUCGACGGAGAUUGAGCAGGGGAGAACAAGCUGGUGAGAUCGCAUGUGCCAGUUUCCACGUGAUUGAUAAUCCGGAGUCUCAUAUAACAGGGUCUGUGUCAUCAGGAAGUUUGAAAACCCAUUCUCCGGGAACGAGAGAGGAGGAGGAGGAAGAGAGAAAGAAAGAUGACACUGUGACGGGACACGGACAGGUACAAAUCUGACAGUAAUCUGCCUCUUCUCUUCUAAUCAUGCUGUCGGUGUGAGAGAUGAAGGCUGAGGUUUGGAGAUGGACAGUUCUGUGCUGUGAUGUUGGCUAAUGCUCUUUCAUUGUGCGGCAUUAACUGAUGAGAGAGCGCCGGCACUCUGCUGAUUAACACAGCCCCGUUUCAAACUUCCUCAUCAAGAAGAAUAGAUUUGCCCCAGUCUGUCACCCCUUGUAUAAACUCUAGAUUUACGGGCUCACUUCACACUGUAUUUGUCAUAAGAAACGUAAGCUGUAAAAAGCUGUGAACUGACGUUAUUGUAAAACUCACAGUCGCUGGAGGAUUCUGACACCCUC